This 68-nucleotide transfer RNA is filed under the name Pseudogriphoneura sp. ACMJ-2016. RNAcentral's name for it is "tRNA-Trp". Lineage: Eukaryota; Metazoa; Arthropoda; Insecta; Diptera; Lauxaniidae. The record is from RNAcentral.
AAGACUUUAAGUUAACCAAACUAUUAGCCUUCAAAGCUAUCAAUAUAAGUAAACCCUUUUAAGUUUUA